This is a non-coding RNA of Cherax quadricarinatus, 5223 nucleotides long. The record is from RefSeq and is a predicted model, not a curated record. Lineage: Eukaryota; Metazoa; Arthropoda; Malacostraca; Decapoda; Parastacidae.
UUGUAAAUAAUAUUAAAAAAACAUUUCAGCAAUCUCAUCCUGUACCGCACUGCUCUCCACUACAAAGAUCUCCAACUUCUCCACACCAUUUGUCAUCGCCACACACCACCUCUCCUGCACAUCACACAGCAUUAACCUCAACACGUGGUCGAAGAGCAUCAUAUGCCCUCUCAGAUGAAGGUGAAGGCCAUAUGGGCUCCCCAACCAGAAAGGCAUCUUUGGAUGAAUCCGGCAGUGAGGGAAAAAGGUCACCUCUUGGCAGCACUCGAGGCAUUGUCUCAGGAAGAUCUAAAGCCAAGAUGGAAGCUUUAGACAAUUUAGUCAUAUCAACAAUUCAUUCACUCUCUGUCAAAGUUCGCACGACAUCAGAAACACUUUUACAAAAACUCAAAUCUCAGUAUGAUGAGGAAGGAGAUCGUGCAGCCCUGCUGGAGGAGGUGUUGGCACACCUUAGUGAAAGUGAUCAAACCCUUGCCACCGGCCAAAGCAGGUCAACUUCCCGGGAGUUAGCUGGCAUACUUCGCAACCUCAAAAAAAUUGAGCAUGCUUUAGAAGUAAUUGACCGUGUGAUGGUGUAUGUGGAAGAGGGAGACCUAGAAGAUGAUGACCUUGAUGCAACUACCAGACAUGAGUGGGGUGAGAGUGAUUAUUGAUUUGCUUGAAGACCUUGAAGAUGACACCCUUGUUGCAACUGCCAUAUGUGAUUGGGACACAAGUGAUUAUUCCAAUAUGACUUGAUGAAAACCUGGAUAAUAAUGACCUUGAUACAACUGCUGGGUACCUGUUAUAAGUGGGGUGAGAGUGAUUGGUAAAUCACCUGUUGAAGACCUAGAGGAUGAUGCUCUUCAUGUGAUUGCUAGACAUGAGGGUGAUUACCAAGUCAUUUGGACACAAAAAUGAAAUUUGUAUAUAGUAUACAGUAAACUGUCUUAGAAACUUUGAAUUGAGAAAAAUAUAUUUACAGCAAAAGGAAAGAUAUAUUUAUCUUUAAAAUUACAAAAGAUGGGAUUGUAAGAGAAGCUGAGUAUUCAAAUGGCUUUAGGAAAAAAUCCAAAUAUUUUUCCCCAAAGUCUUUUUAUCUGCUUCUCUAAGGCUAUGGGUUCCCACAAUUUGCACCUAGAGUGGACUCCAUCCAAUGUUGUUAUAUUCAUUUGUGGCAGAUGUAAAGUAUUUCUCAAAAAUAUGAAAGAAAAAUUGAACAUGUAGUUGGCAGAUGUUAGCACAACGUAUUUUCAAGUGAAUGAAAAAAUACCUCCAAGUUUCCCUACAUAAUUAAUGGUUUGGCACUUUAAUGACCUCAUUCCAGGGUUGACCAUGGUGAGUAAAUUCACAUGCUGCAAGUUCUUUAGAACUUGUCACUGAAUAUUUUCAUACCGUAUGUCAGGAUAAAUAACAAAAAGGCACAAUACCGUGACUGGAACAAUACACAAAUAACCCGCACAUAAAAGAGAGAAGCUUACGACGACGUUUCGGUCCGACUUGGACCAUUGACAAAGUCACACUGUGACUUUGUCAAUGGUCCAAGUCGGACCGAAACGUCGUCGUAAGCUUCUCUCUUUUAUGUGCAGGUUAUUUGUGUAUGUCAGGAUCAAUUAAAUUAUAAAAAUCUCUUGUUUCUUGACCAAAUAUUACCAAACAAAUAUGCAUUUCACCUACUCUAAAUAUUUCUUGACAAUAAAUACAGUGGAAACUGAGGUGAAGCAGCAGGAGCAGGUGUUGGUGGUGGUGUGUGCCUUGCUGCACCAUCCCCUCACCCUCAUUAAACCACUUGAUUGAUUAUAAUAAUACUUGUUGGAUAGGACCAUUUUAGGUGGUUAAGUUUUUCAUUAUAAUUGUAUUCACCAAAAAUAAUUUUUUUUAAUUGUGUGGUAAAAAUUAAUAUUUCUAGGGUUCAUGUUUCUGCUGGCAUUAAAGUCAUCAACAGUACGGUGUUAAAAUACGAGUGACAACUGCCUCUCCCUCCCACCAAUCCCAGAAUCAUAACAAAUAAGCAUUGCUGUAUCAUGUUAGCAUCAAAAGGAAGUGUUCAGGAAUUUUAUCAUUUCCUCUAAUUUUUGCUGUCUUAUGGUCUCAUUAGUAGCUAUUACUACAUUAUACAUCAUAUCUACAACUGUCUUUGAUAAGUAAUUGUAAGGAAAAUAUAAUUUGUGAGAAAAUUAUUGGCAAUGGCUCACUUUUCAGUUGGGAGAGGAGGGAGUGGGAGAGUGAAAAAGUGUAUGAGAGAGAGAGAGAGAGAGAAGAAAGCUAGUCUUGUAUGUACGGUACAUAGUUAUAAUUUUUCUUUAUUUUCUUUAACGCACCGGCUAUGUCCCACCCAGGCAGAGUGCUUUCAGAAAGUUUUUUUUUAUUUUACAUUUAGUAAUUUAUGCAAGAGGAGGGGUUACUAACCCCUUGCUAGCUGCAUUUAAUCACCUUUUAUGAUAUGCAUGGUUUACAGAGGAAGGAUUCUUCUCUACUUCUCUACUUCUCUACUCCCCCCCCCCUCCCUACAAGUUAACAGGAAUUAGAUAUGGAAUAUUACCCAGGUCUGCAUCACUGGUUAUACUAUGCGCCUCUACAUGAAAGUGUAAUUUGCUUAACAUAUUUCAAACCUUUUAUCUGGUCUCUGGCUAGGUCAUUAACCUUGCCACUGUAUCACACAUAGAUCUGUGUCAUUGAUGCUAAUCUUGUGUUGAUCUGUGUUUUAAAUACAGCACCCUCACAUAGGCUGUGAGUGGUAAAUUUUAGCAUAGACUUGAGAGAAUGGGUCUGCAGUAAGUGCACAGUAUAAAAAAUUCUGCCCCAUGCAAUGUAAGACAAGCAAACUUGUUACCUUGUGUUUGGUUUAAAAUUGUGGCUUUGAGGUGUUUUCUAGGUUUUUUUAUGGUUUUAUUUGCUGUUUCUUGGUAUCACUUGAUAAAAUGGAAGACUUGCUAGCAAAAUAUAGAUAAUUGAGGUAGGUUUCUGACUGGAAGUAACUUGAAAUAAGGAUGAAGGUGGCUGAAAAUAUUUGAUUUUUAGUUAUUUUCCUGAGGAAGGGUAGGGCCUGCCCCUAAUCCUCAUAGUCUAUUUUAUGGGUUUUUACUAGACCUGCUUCAAUUAUUGGGAUAGCCUAAACCCUGACCAGUAGGAUAAAACUUCUGCUUAUUUCUGUGUGAUGAUAGAUUCAAAGUGGAGGACAAGCAUUAUAUGAGAGAGGCCUGGGAAUGUGAUUAAUGAACAGGAAAUGUUGCUUAAGUGGCAGGAACUCCUGCAUUGUUUAUAUUGGACUCUGUUUUUAAAUUGGUAUUGUGUAUAAUUGGAAUUUGUUGAAUUUUGUGUAAAAUUGCCCUAAUAACUGACUUCUCUGCAUAUUAUACGGUGGGUUUUUUUUCUGUUCAAUCAAUAGAAUUGAAGUCUAAUUGAGCAUUGGAAUUGGGUGGAAUUGCUGAUGCAUAAACGGUACCCAGAAUGUUAACUUUCCACCUGUGCAAUUCCAUAGGUUUUUAUCAGAUUCACAUUUGUGGUGUCAUUACCUUCAGAAAAAAGAUUCUCUACAAUUGCAGUAGAUAAAAUUAUUUUUUGUUUGAAAAAUUGCAAAACUGUCAGCACCUAAUUUUGUGGGUCAGCUGUACCAUAUUUUGAGGCAAUAAUGACCUAUAAAAGACUGUGUGACCAUUUAUGCAGUGCAGUAAUUCAGCACUUACAUAAUACAGUGAGGCAUCUGUAUUAGCUACAAAGUUGUUCUCUAACUUUUUUUUUUUUUGGGGGGGGGGGAGUUAUGGCAGUUACUUUCCACUUUCUUUUAGCUUUGCACACAACCCCUAAAUAGUAAACAUGCCAUAGGUUUUUGUAUAAAAUAAGCCCAUUGUAUUACCUAUGCCCAAGUCUCUAUAGAUAUAUUAUCUUUUGAGUGUCAUUACUUUUAAUUCCUGACACUAUGUAAAGAGGGGGUUUUGGAGGUCAGCACCCUCGUGGCCUGGUCCGUGACCAGGCCUCAUGGUGGAUCAGGACCUGAUCAACGAGGCUGCUACUGCUGGCCACACAAAGUGAUAUGUGAGCCACAGCCCAGCUGGUCAGAUACUGAUUUUGGGUGCCUGUCCAGCGCCUUCUUGAAGACACCCAUGCAUCUGUUGGCAAUCCCUCUACUAUAUGAAAAGCCAAUGAAGUAGUGGGCAUGCUGGGGUGAUGUGGUGGGAAAACAGUUAUCAACAUUGAUGAAGCCUGAUUUUUCCAUCCUUCCUUAGUGCAUUAAUGGCUGCACCUGAAAAUAGGGGUCUACUAAACUCAAACAAGAAGCAUUAUUCAGCCUCCACCUGCUGUGUUAAGCAUUCAUCUGAUUCAUUUGUUGCCUUAACCCUGUGAAACCAGAUGCAGGUCCAGGAGGGAAAGACAUGACAGCUAUUUCACACUUCAAAUACUUAAACUUAAUUAAUGGUUCCAUUCUGUUAGCAUUGUUACAAGAGUUAUUAUUGUUGUUUGAAACUCAAUAUUUGUGUUUGCCUUGCAUAGCUUUGUCUGUGAUGAAAUCUCCAUGGGUAAUUUAACUUUCACUAUUGAUUUAUAUGAUUAUUUUUUUUAUUAUUAUCACACCGGCCGAUUCCCACCAAGGCAGGGUGGCCCGAAAAAGAAAAACUUUCACCAUCAUUCACUCCAUCACUGUCUUGCCAGAAGGGUGCUUUACACUACAGUUUUUAAACUGCAACAUUAACACCCCUCCUUCAGAGUGCAGGCACUGUACUUCCCAUCUCCAGGACUCAAGUCCGGCCUGCCGGUUUCCCUGAAUCCCUUCAUAAAUGUUACUUUGCUCACACUCCAACAGCACGUCAAGUAUUAAAAACCAUUUGUCUCCAUUCACUCCUAUCAAACACGCUCACGCAUGCCUGCUGGAAGUCCAAGCCCCUCGCACACAAAACCUCCUUUACCCCCUCCCUCCAACCCUUCCUAGGCCGACCCCUACCCCGCCUUCCUUCCACUACAGACUGAUACACUCUUGAAGUCAUUCUGUUUCGCUCCAUUCUCUCUACAUGUCCGAACCACCUCAACAACCCUUCCUCAGCCCUCUGGACAACAGUUUUGGUAAUCCCGCACCUCCUCCUAACUUCCAAACUACGAAUUCUCUGCAUUAUAUUCACACCACACAUUGCCCUCAGACAUGACAUCUCCACUGCCUCCAGCCUUCUCCUCGCUGCAACAUUCAUCACCCACGCUUCACACCCAUAUAAGAGCGUUGGUAAAACUAUACUCUCAUACAUUCCCCUCUUU